GAUGAACGCUGGCGGCGUGCCUAAUACAUGCAAGUCGAGCGAACUGAUUAGAAGCUUGCUUCUAUGACGUUAGCGGCGGACGGGUGAGUAACACGUGGGCAACCUGCCUGUAAGACUGGGAUAACUUCGGGAAACCGAAGCUAAUACCGGAUAGGAUCUUCUCCUUCAUGGGAGAUGAUUGAAAGAUGGUUUCGGCUAUCACUUACAGAUGGGCCCGCGGUGCAUUAGCUAGUUGGUGAGGUAACGGCGCACCAAGGCAAGGAGGCAUAGCCGACCUGAGAGGGUGAUCGUCCCCACUGGGACUGAGACACGGCCCAGACUCCUACGGGAGGCAGCAGUAGGGAAUCUUCCGCAAUGGACGAAAGUCUGACGGAGCAACGCCGCGUGAGUGAUGAAGGCUUUCGGGUCGUAAAACUCUGUUGUUAGGGAAGAACAAGUACGAGAGUAACUGCUCGUACCUUGACGGUACCUAACCAGAAAGCCACGGCUAACUACGUGCCAGCAGCCGCCGUAA
This 514-nucleotide ribosomal RNA is filed under the name uncultured bacterium. Its description in RNAcentral is "partial 16S ribosomal RNA". It matches the Rfam family "Bacterial small subunit ribosomal RNA", at positions 28 to 523 of the family's 1533-position model. The record is from RNAcentral.